AAAACAUGUAUUUCUAAACAUUUAAAAACGUUUUUAGAAAAAAAUGUAAAUGGCAUGUAAGCUGAACCGUUAAAAUUAAAACCGUUAAGAUCGCCGCAAGGGAGUGCUGCGGUUGGCUGUGCCCCCCGUGAGGGAGCACCACGAUCGUCGCGAGAGAGUGAUGCAGUCGGCUGUGCCCCGUGUCAGGGAGCACCACGAUCAGCGCGAGGGAGCGCUGUGGUCGGCUGUGCCCCACGUGAGGGAGCACCACGAUCGGCGUGAGGGAGCACGACGAUCGGCUCGAGGGAGUGCUGUGGUCGGCUGUGCCCCACGUGAGGGAGCACCACGAUCGGCGUGAGGGAGCACCACGAUCGGCGAGAGGGAGCACGACGAUCGGCUCGAGGGAGUGCUGUGAUCGGCUGUGCCCCACGUGAGGGAGCACCACGAUCGGCGUGAGGGAGCACCACGAUCGGCGUGAGGGAGCACCACGAUCGGCGUGAGGGAGCACCACGAUCGGCGCGAGGGAGUGCUGUGGUCGGCUGUGCCCCACGUGAGGGACCACCACGAUCGGCUCGAGGGAGCGCCACGGUCGGCCGCGUGAAAGACAGCUCUAGUCCCUACCAUGAUGUCAGCCAUGAUGUCAUGCUCGAACCCUCUCACACCUCACCAUCAAUCUGGACACAGCAGAACAGCUUCUUAAUCUUCAUUUCACUGCUCAGAAAAGAACGACUGUACCCCCCAGUUACUCUUCAGCUCAGGGCAAAAGUGCAACUCCAUUUUAUUAAACUGCAGAAUCUGAUAUCAGUGAGGGUUUUUAUGAGAUGAGAACACAUAGAGAACAGAAGUCAGCACACAGGAGUCUUUUAUGGUUUUGUAAAGGAGGUAGAAUGAAGACGUUUGCAAAUAAUUUUAGUCCUUAGUUAAUAUCAUGUCUGUGUGUUAGGUGCAUGGCAGUUUACUAUUACUACAGCGUUAAAAUUGUCUCAUUGAUGUUGGAACACAUAAAAAAAGGGUCAGAAGUGUAACUGUUGGAAAUUCCCUGGGAGCAGGUAAAAAACUACAAAGACCAUAAUCCUUUGCAGCGGGAUAAGGUGGGGCCCAGAGUUUAAAAGAUUGCUGUCGGACAUUUUUAUUUUCUCUGUUUCGCAUGGUUUGGAAUGAGGAGUGGGCUUCCAUUGAAUGUGUUUUUGUUUAAGUUUUUUGAUCUAUUACUUUAUUACUAAUUUAUGUUAAUUUGUCCAUUUUGAUUGUGAUUGUUUCUAUUGUUUGCUCACUUGGUUUGUAGUUCCUUUGUUGCACUGUUUGUAUUGUUUUACUGAUCUUAAAAUGUUUGUGUAUUAGAUCAUCCAUCCAUCCAUCCAUCCAUCCAUCCAUCCAAUAUCUGCUCUGCAUCAUUGUAAAAGACACUGCAUCAGUUGAAGUCUGCUCAUCUUCCUGUGUUUUAAUGGACACACCAUCACGACAACCACCCUUCCAAAUAAAUUCCAAUAAAACUUUACA
RNAcentral lists this long non-coding RNA (1479 nucleotides) under Astyanax mexicanus (Mexican tetra). RNAcentral describes it as "lncRNA (ENSAMXG00005017182.1)". Lineage: Eukaryota; Metazoa; Chordata; Actinopteri; Characiformes; Acestrorhamphidae. The record is from RNAcentral.